RNAcentral lists this transfer RNA (72 nucleotides) under Camelus bactrianus (Bactrian camel). It matches the Rfam family "tRNA". From Rfam's summary of the family: Transfer RNA (tRNA) molecules are approximately 80 nucleotides in length. The record is from Rfam by way of RNAcentral. RNAcentral also lists the same sequence under 2 other names. Lineage: Eukaryota; Metazoa; Chordata; Mammalia; Artiodactyla; Camelidae.
GAGGGUAUAGCUCAGUGGUGGAGUGUACGCUUUGUAUGCAUGAGGUCAUGGGUUCAAUCCCCUGUAUCUCCA